Molecule: non-coding RNA, 781 nt
Organism: Erythranthe guttata (spotted monkey flower)
Lineage: Eukaryota; Viridiplantae; Streptophyta; Magnoliopsida; Lamiales; Phrymaceae
Source: RefSeq, a predicted model, not a curated record
AAACCCCGAAACACGUCCCUUCACUUAUCCCCUUCUCCCUUCCUUCUCUCCACAAUCAGCACGCCCCACAACCUCGCUUCAUCUUCUUCCUUCCUUCUCUCCACAAUCACGCCAUAAUCUUGCUCCACAACCUCGUCGUCUCACCGGAUGACCACACCAUCUCCGCCCUUCUCCUCCUCGGCCGCCGCCCCUCUCUUUUCCCACCACCAUCACCGCCUCUCGUUACAUACUAUCAGAUCUGUCCAUCUUGUUAAUCGUCUUCUCACUCGCUGAUGAGAUCCGCUUACCCACGAAGUUGGUAUGUUUUCCCAAAACGCAGAACGAUUUGUCUCAUUCCCUCUAUAUUUUGUCGGCAAAUAGGUAAGUUCCCCGCGGUUCUCUUUCUCGUCGGCGGUUGUUGAUUAUAAGGUUCUUGCACAAGCGGGUGAUGACAGCAAGUGAGACGAUGUUGGGUGAUGAUAAGUUUGUAGUGUUUAUCACCGGGUCACUCUAACCUAACGAAAACCACGAGCAACACUAUCAUAAAUUCGGAAGCUUGUAGUGAAUUUUGAUAAGUUUGUUGUUGAUGCAUAAAUGUUUUUCUACGAUAUUUUUUUAGUGGAUUAACCAUAUAUUACGUUAAUUUUGUAGUGGAUUACUUUAACCUAAAGUGGAUUUUGAUAACUUUGUAGUGGAUUUUGAUAAUUUUGUAAUGGAUUACGUUAAUUCGUAGUGGAUUAUGUAAAAUUAUAUUCAAUUUCAUACUGAUUUCUACGUUAAUCGAAUAGUGGUUUUCGAUGAA